RNAcentral lists this ribosomal RNA (700 nucleotides) under Hydrophilus piceus (great silver water beetle). RNAcentral's name for it is "eukaryotic LSU rRNA". It matches the Rfam family "Eukaryotic large subunit ribosomal RNA", at positions 47 to 612 of the family's 3401-position model. The record is from RNAcentral. Lineage: Eukaryota; Metazoa; Arthropoda; Insecta; Coleoptera; Hydrophilidae.
UUNNNNGNGGGAGACUAACAGGAUUCCCUGAGUAACGGCGAGUGAAACGGGAAAAGCCCAGCGUGUAAUCGCCUAGGUUCUACCUAUGGUGAGGUGUCACGUAUAGGCGUGUCUGUCUGGUUUUCGUUGAGGUCCGAAGUUCGCUCGAACGCGACUUCCCAUAGUGGGUGCUAGGCCCGUAAGGAUCUCGACUUGGCCAGUUGGGCGCGUCUUGGAGUAGAGUUGCUUGGAAGUGCAGCUCAAAGUGGGUGGUAUACCACAUCUAAGGCUAAAUAUGACCAAGACUUCGAUAGCGAACAAGUACUGUGAAGGAAAGUUGCAAAGAACUUUGAAGAGAGAGUUCAAGAGAAUGUGAAACCACAAGGGGCUAAGCGGAUAGAGUUGACGAAACUGGCAGUGUUCAGCGUUCGCGAUCGGGCUUCGGCUCGUGGCCGGGCGUGCAUUCAUUGUCGGUACGUGCUGGGACGUUUGGCAGGCUCUUCUGAAGGCUUCAGAGUGGCCCAGGCUUGCCUGGUAGUCUUCUGUUGUCGGAAGUUGAUAUGCUUGCUAAUCGUAAAGUUGACCAGGCCUCUGCGCGGUCAGUUGCUGGGUAGUUCUCUGCUUGGUAGUCGGACAUGUCUGGCUGCCUCGUGCGAGGGCUGGUUAGUGGCUGCUCGCCUAUGGUUCAAUCCCGGUAUGGAAAGUCGACCACCAAANNUNA